AGAGUUUGAUCCUGGCUCAGGAUGAACGCUAGCUACAGGCUUAACACAUGCAAGUCGAGGGGCAGCAUUUUAGUUUGCUUGCAAACUAAAGAUGGCGACCGGCGCACGGGUGAGUAACACGUAUCCAACCUGCCGAUAACUCGGGGAUAGCCUUUCGAAAGAAAGAUUAAUAUCCGAUAGUAUAUUAAAACCGCAUGGUUUUACUAUUAAAGAAUUUCGGUUAUCGAUGGGGAUGCGUUCCAUUAGUUUGUUGGCGGGGUAACGGCCCACCAAGACUACGAUGGAUAGGGGUUCUGAGAGGAAGGUCCCCCACAUUGGAACUGAGACACGGUCCGAACUCCUACGGGAGGCAGCAGUGAGGAAUAUUGGUCAAUGGACGAGAGUCUGAACCAGCCAAGUAGCGUGAAGGAUGACUGCCCUAUGGGUUGUAAACUUCUUUUAUAUGGGAAUAAAGUAUUCCACGUGUGGGAUUUUGUAUGUACCAUAUGAAUAAGGAUCGGCUAACUCCGUGCCAGCAGCCGCGGUAAUACGGAGGAUCCGAGCGUUAUCCGGAUUUAUUGGGUUUAAAGGGAGCGUAGGUGGAUUGUUAAGUCAGUUGUGAAAGUUUGCGGCUCAACCGUAAAAUUGCAGUUGAAACUGGCAGUCUUGAGUACAGUAGAGGUGGGCGGAAUUCGUGGUGUAGCGGUGAAAUGCUUAGAUAUCACGAAGAACUCCGAUUGCGAAGGCAGCUCACUAGACUGCAACUGACACUGAUGCUCGAAAGUGUGGGUAUCAAACAGGAUUAGAUACCCUGGUAGUCCACACAGUAAACGAUGAAUACUCGCUGUUUGCGAUAUACAGUAAGCGGCCAAGCGAAAGCAUUAAGUAUUCCACCUGGGGAGUACGCCGGCAACGGUGAAACUCAAAGGAAUUGACGGGGGCCCGCACAAGCGGAGGAACAUGUGGUUUAAUUCGAUGAUACGCGAGGAACCUUACCCGGGCUUAAAUUGCAUUUGAAUAAUCUGGAAACAGGUUAGCCGCAAGGCAAAUGUGAAGGUGCUGCAUGGUUGUCGUCAGCUCGUGCCGUGAGGUGUCGGCUUAAGUGCCAUAACGAGCGCAACCCUUAUCUUUAGUUACUAACAGGUCAUGCUGAGGACUCUAGAGAGACUGCCGUCGUAAGAUGUGAGGAAGGUGGGGAUGACGUCAAAUCAGCACGGCCCUUACGUCCGGGGCUACACACGUGUUACAAUGGGGGGUACAGAAGGCAGCUACCUGGCGACAGGAUGCUAAUCCCAAAAACCUCUCUCAGUUCGGAUCGAAGUCUGCAACCCGACUUCGUGAAGCUGGAUUCGCUAGUAAUCGCGCAUCAGCCAUGGCGCGGUGAAUACGUUCCCGGGCCUUGUACACACCGCCCGUCAAGCCAUGAAAGCCGGGGGUACCUGAAGUACGUAACCGCAAGGAGCGUCCUAGGGUAAAACUGGUAAUUGGGGCUAAGUCGUAACAAGGUA
RNAcentral lists this ribosomal RNA (1487 nucleotides) under metagenome. RNAcentral describes it as "bacterial SSU rRNA". It matches the Rfam family "Bacterial small subunit ribosomal RNA". The record is from RNAcentral.